CCUCAUAGCAGUGUUCUGGAAACCUACGUGAGGGACAAACAUUCAGACCACAGCAGGUGUGUUCUGGAAUCCUAUGUGAGGGA
RNAcentral lists this microRNA precursor (83 nucleotides) under Pongo pygmaeus (Bornean orangutan). RNAcentral describes it as "microRNA ppy-mir-1299 precursor". It matches the Rfam family "mir-1299 microRNA precursor family". The record is from miRBase by way of RNAcentral. RNAcentral also lists the same sequence under 1 other name. Lineage: Eukaryota; Metazoa; Chordata; Mammalia; Primates; Hominidae.